AGAGCAUCGGGUGGAUGCCUUGGCGUCAGAAGGCGAUGAAAGACGUGGUAAGCUGCGAUAAGCCUCGGGGAGGAGCUAAACAUCCUUUGAGCCGGGGAUUUCUGAAUGGGGAAACCCAGCGGGAGUCAUGUCCCGUUAACAUUCACUGAAUUCAUAGGUGACUGUGGCUAACGCAGGGAAGUGAAACAUCUCAGUACCUGCAGGAAGAGAAAUCAAUCGAGAUUCCCCAAGUAGCGGCGAGCGAACGGGGAAGAGCCCAAACCGCGCGGAUUCGUCCGUACGGGGUUGCAGGGCCGGAAUGACCGAUUCACGCGUAACCAGAAGAAGUGAGCAGGAAAGCUCCGCCAGAGAGGGUGACAGUCCCGUAUUCGAAAGUGAGAGUGACGGUUCCGGUACCUGAGUACUGCGAGACACGUGAAAUCUCGUGGGAAUCCGGGAGGACCAUCUCCUAAGGCUAAAUACUAACUGACGACCGAUAGUGUACCAGUACCGUGAGGGAAAGGUGAAAAGAACCCCUGUCAGGGGAGUGAAAGAGAAUCUGAAACCUGGUGCUUACAAGCUGUGGGAGCCGUACUUGUACGGUGACCAUGUGCCUUUUGCAUAAUGAGUCAGCGAGUUAAUCUGUACAGCAAGGUUAAGCGUAAGUGAAGCCGCAGCGAAAGCGAGUCCGAACAGGGCCACAGUUGUGCGGAUUAGACCCGAAACCGGGUGAUCUAUCCAUGAGCAGGUUGAAGCAAGGGUAAAGCCUUGUGGAGGACCGAACCAGUUCUGGCUGAAAACAGUUUGGAUGACUUGUGGAUAGGGGUGAAAGGCCAAUCAAACCCGGUGAUAGCUGGUUCUCCCCGAAAUAUAUUGAGGUAUAGCCUUGCGGAUUGUCUUAUGGAGGUAAAGCUCUGACAGAACUAGGGGUCCUAUCCGACUACCGAAUUCUUUCAAACUCUGAAUACCAUUAAGAUCUACCGCAGGAGUCAGACGGCGGGUGCUAAGGUUCGUCGUCAAAAGGGCAACAGCCCAGACCGACAGCUAAGGCCUCCAAAUGCAUGCUCAGUGGUUAAGGUGGUGGCGUUGUGCAGACACCCAGGACGUUGGCUUAGAAGCAGCCAUCGUUUAAAGAAAGCGUAAUAGCUCACUGGUUCAAUGGCGCUGCGCCGAAAAUGUAACGGGGCUAAGCAUGCUGCCGAAGCUUCGGAUUUGUCUCUGACAACUGGUAGGGGAGCGUUCUCUGCGGGCUGAAGCGGAACCGAAAGGUUUCGUGGACUGCAGAGAAGUGAUUAUGCUGACAUGAGUAACGAUAAAAUAUGUGAAAAACAUAUUCGCCGUAAAUCCAAGGUUUCCUGGGUAAAGGUAAUCUUCCCAGGGUUAGUCGGACCCUAAGGCCAGGCUGAAAGGCGUAGCUGAUGGGAAACGGGUUAAUAAUCCUGUACUUGUGCGAUUGUGCGAAGAAGGGACGCAGGAUGGUAGACAGGCCGGUUUUUGGAAUCCGGUGCAAGUGCGUAGGCGUGCUCCGCAGGCAAAUCCGCGGAGAUGAGCCGAGACACGAGUCCGUGGGCGCAAGCCCUGAAGCUGUUGAGCCACGGCUGCCAAGAAAAGCUUCUAAGUUUAGAUCGCGCGAACCGUACCGCAAACCAACUCAGGUGGAUGGGAUGAAUAAUCCAAGGCGCUCGAGAGAACUCUGGCCAAGGAACUCGGCAAAUUGACCCCGUACCUUCGGAAUAAGGGGUGCUCCCCACGGUGAGACAAAUUCUUGUUCAGCCCCGGGGAGCCGCAGAGAAAUGGUGGUGGCGACUGUUUACUAAAAACAUAGGUCUGUGCGAAGUCCUACAGACGACGUAUACGGACUGACGCCUGCCCGGUGCCGGAAGGUUAAAAGGAGGAGUCAGCGCAAGCGAAGCUCCGAUUUGAAGCCCCGGUAAACGGCGGCCGUAACUAUAACGGUCCUAAGGUAGCGAAAUUCCUUGUCGGGCAAGUUCCGACCUGCACGAAUGGCGUAACGAUCUCCACGCUGUCUCGGCCAGAGACUCGGUGAAAUUGAAGUCGCGGUGAAAAUGCCGUGUACCCGCAGAAAGACGGAAAGACCCUGUGCACCUUUACUAUAGCUUGACAUUGGGUUUUGAACCUGCAUGUGUAGGAUAGGUGGGAGGCUGUGAAAGCUGUACGCCAGUAUGGCCGGAGCCACCCGUGAAAUACCACCCUUGUUUGUUCAGGACCCUAACUCGCAGCUGUAAUCCAGCGCGAAGACAGUGUCUGGUGGGUAGUUUGACUGGGGCGGUCGCCUCCUAAAGAGUAACGGAGGCAUGCAAAGGUUCCCUCAGCCUGAUCGGAAACCAGGCGCUGA
RNAcentral lists this ribosomal RNA (2335 nucleotides) under metagenome. RNAcentral's name for it is "bacterial LSU rRNA". It matches the Rfam family "Bacterial large subunit ribosomal RNA", at positions 14 to 2348 of the family's 2925-position model. The record is from RNAcentral.